Molecule: long non-coding RNA, 379 nt
Filed under: Pan troglodytes (chimpanzee)
Lineage: Eukaryota; Metazoa; Chordata; Mammalia; Primates; Hominidae
Description: long non-coding RNA NONPTRT010520
Source: RNAcentral
GUCUUGCUAUGUUGCCCAGGCUGGUCUUGAACUCCUCACCUCAAGCGAUCCUCUCGUCUUGGCCUCCCAAGUGUCAGGAUUACAGGUCACAGAAUUUUCCACACUCCUUGACGGAGGUGCUUAACCCUUAUCCAUCAGCAUUCUCAGACAGCACCUCCGGUUAGGGACAGUAUCUGACCGUCCGACAUCCCUGCAGCCCCCAUGUGUCACACAGACUCAGCCUCAGGUAGAUGGUUUCCGUAGAUGGUGGCUUUCUUUGGACCCUUGACAUCAACCAGUUACUAUUUGACUCUUCUGCAGAACCCCCUGUUGACCCCUGCUUUGAGGUGGCAGAGUUAACACUACUCUUCGUUAUAAGCUCUCGUCUGGGGCAACUCAG